This 484-nucleotide ribosomal RNA is filed under the name uncultured bacterium. Its description in RNAcentral is "partial 16S ribosomal RNA". It matches the Rfam family "Bacterial small subunit ribosomal RNA", at positions 30 to 507 of the family's 1533-position model. The record is from RNAcentral.
AUUGAACGCUGGCGGCAGGCCUAACACAUGCAAGUCGAGCGGAUGAAGGGAGCUUGCUCCUGGAUUCAGCGGCGGACGGGUGAGUAAUGCCUAGGAAUCUGCCUGGUAGUGGGGGAUAACGUCCGGAAACGGGCGCUAAUACCGCAUACGUCCUGAGGGAGAAAGUGGGGGAUCUUCGGACAUCACGCUAUCAUAUGAGCCUAGGUCGGAUUAGCUAGUUGGUGGGUUAAAGGCCUACCAAGGCGACGAUCCGUAACUGGUCUGAGAGGAUGAUCAGUCACACUGGAACUGAGACACGGUCCAGACUCCUACGGGAGGCAGCAGUGGGGAAUAUUGGACAAUGGGCGAAAGCCUGAUCCAGCCAUGCCGCGUGUGUGAAGAAGGUCUUCGGAUUGGAAAGCACUUUUAGUUGGGAGGAAGGGCAGUAAGUUAAUACCUUGCUGUUUUGACGUUACCAACAGAAUAAGCACCGGCUAACUUCGUG